CAGUAGUCCCUGGAAAUGGAGGUACCCGUGUUAAUCAGAAUGUGACUCUGAACAAUUAUCUCCACAUCCAGAUUCCUGGACUUCUGUGGACAAUUUGGUCCAACUUGUGCCUUUAACUGGGGGGGAAGUGUGGCUUCUUCAUACUGAAAUCCUGUAGAGGCAUGGUGGCCAGAAAGGUUUCCAGGAGCAGUGUGGCUGGGCUUCUCUGGGUCUGUGAGCUCUCUGUGCCACAGAGGUCUACUCAUGGAGCAAUUCCUACUGGCUCCGGGUUAGAUGUCGGUUCAUGUGCUGUCCAUCUCCUCCUCAUGUCUCUUGCCGUAGAAGAUGACCCUGUGAGGAAGCCAGCCUGCGAUUGAAGGAAAAGUUAAGAAAUAAAACAAGCCAAGAUAUGAUUUAGAAGAAAAAUAGCUUGGGUUCAUCUUAGAUAAUGAACUGUUCAUCCAAGGUA
Molecule: long non-coding RNA, 448 nt
Organism: Calidris pugnax (ruff)
Lineage: Eukaryota; Metazoa; Chordata; Aves; Charadriiformes; Scolopacidae
Exons: 4
Source: RefSeq, a predicted model, not a curated record